This 1881-nucleotide long non-coding RNA is filed under the name Lactuca sativa (garden lettuce). Its description in RNAcentral is "long non-coding RNA (LSAT_LNC002209)". Lineage: Eukaryota; Viridiplantae; Streptophyta; Magnoliopsida; Asterales; Asteraceae. The record is from RNAcentral.
UUGACCACACAAUUUUGUUUUUUCUCGGUUUCACCCUGUCACUUAAAUACAUGACACGCAUCACUAUUAAACCGAUUAUCAUUCCUCUUUGCCUUCGUCUUUCCCUUAAUUUUUGUUUUCUUCUUCGUCUUUUCUUUGCUUCCAAGAACUUUGUGGUUUCUCGGUGCAGUGAUUUUUGAGGUUUCGCAACGACGCGGACGGUUGUUUCGUCACACCCAACCAUCGGUUUCAAGCAGAUAUCUAUUUUGAUUUGGGAGUUGAGUAUGUUAUCUAUGUUCUGUACGUGGUCAUACCUGUUUUUUUUUAUGCUUAGAAGCAAUUCUCUGUUUCGAUUUUGGGUUAGUUGUUUUUUUUUUUCAAUUUUUGGUCUCGGGCUCCACCAUCAAUCACUUUGGGUUAGGGUUGGAUUUACUUUCACUAUUUAUGAAUUGUCUAAUUUUGGUCUCAGAUACGUAGUAUCAGUAUUACAAAUUGUAUCAAUUGUUCAUCUAAUUAGGAUAGCAAUCUUGAUAUACCUAUUCCUUCUAUCAAGGUGACGAUCCUUCAAUUUCAGAUUAGCACUUAAAAUCUGAAGGUAAGAUGUAGAGGUUAAGGUAUAGAAGAUGGGUGAAUUUCAGAGGUCUGUUGUUUGUAGAAUUGCUUCCUUAAGUAUCUGUUGUUUCGUUUCUUUCAUGUCUGUUGGUGUGUUCCAUAUUUUUGUUUAUUCUGAUGAUGUUUUUUUGUGCUUUGCAGGUUAUAUAGUGUAUCUGUGUGAUUUUUGUUGUCAAUCUGCUUACUCUGGUAUGUCUCCUAUACCGUGUUUCUGCUGUUAAUGGUAUUUAUUGUGGUGAAUGUAAGCAAAAUGAAAUGAUUCAAAUCCAGUGAUGUUGUAAUUCAUACCCUCUCCUUUUUGGUUUGUCUGUGCAGGCUUUACUAACAUCCCAUGGUUUUGGUUACAAAUUGUAAAAAAAAAUAAAAAAAACUGUCCAUCAAUUGUUAAAGGUAGGAGUGAGACUCCAUAAUUAAUGAACAAAAUUUGUUUCCUUCCACUUCCAAUAUGCACACGUUCAAUUAUAUUGUUAUCUUCUUAUUCAAAAUUACAUUUACAAAUGGAACAAGGGUAAUGAAAAGAAUUAACUUCUUGAUGCUGCAGUGUCUAUUAACUUUUUCAAUCUAUAUGUCAUUCCAUUUGUAACGUAAUUUAUACUUUUUGGUGCAGGACUUUACAUGGUCUUUGUUACACAGAGAAAUUUCAUUUCUUUCAACAUAGAGUUCUCAAAGAAGGUCUAUGUAUGAUUUACCUUUUAUACUUCCACAAUUGUGAAUUGAUGUGUUGUAUCUAGGCCUUUAAUGGUAGGAAAAAUGAGUUUCAACAAUGUGAGGAUACCUGGGAUGCCUAAUGGUAGUGCAGCUUCUGCAUUGCUAAAGUUUGGAGACAUUGUUGGUAUUGUAUAGUAUGCUUAAAGAAUGAUAGUCAAUGCAAGGAAGAAAACAGAGCAUUGGUGGAGGUUACACAUGUAAUUAAAUUAUAUAAAAGAUCUUGAACGAAUAAAAAUUAAAGUCUUAGUAUAAGUGAUUAAUAACAAGUAUUAUCUAUUAUUUUCAGCAUCACCCACCAUUUACACUUCCUUUUACACGACGUGAUGAAAUCUCUGUAUGAAUGGAAAGAAAACAAACUGACAUAAAGUUAUAGGAGGGGACUCUAGGUCAUUUUGUAUUUAUUUAUUUACAGAAAGUUAUUUAGCUAAAAUAAUCUAAUGCAUGAGCGUGCUUUUUUUAAACCAAUUAGCUUGCUUAUUGACAUAUUUUACUUAAGGGGUAUUUUUGUCAGUUACCAUUCUUUUACCGAAUUUGUUUGACUUUUUACCAACAGGGAAAGAAUGAAAGUUUUCUGUCUAUUCA